RNAcentral lists this ribosomal RNA (700 nucleotides) under uncultured bacterium. Its description in RNAcentral is "bacterial SSU rRNA". It matches the Rfam family "Bacterial small subunit ribosomal RNA", at positions 8 to 746 of the family's 1533-position model. The record is from RNAcentral.
AGAGUUUGAUCAUGGCUCAGAACGAACGCUGGCGGCAGGCUUAAUACAUGCAAGUCGAACGCUCCAGCAAUGGAGAGUGGCAGACGGGUGGAGUAACGCGUGGGAAUCUACCCAAUACUACGGAAUAGCUCCGGGAAACUGGAAUUAAUACCGUAUGUGCCCUAGGAGAAUGGCUUCCCGUGGCUGAACACCCCGCGUUGGAUACCUUUGGUGUGUUAGCACAGGCACAUGUCCCCCAACCCUCUGCGGUGUGAAGAGGAUGAUCAGCCACACUGGGACUGAGACACGGCCCAGACUCCUACGGGAGGCAGCAGUAGGGAAUAUUGGACAAUGGGCGAAAGCCUGAUCCAGCCAUGCCGCGUGAGUGAUGAAAGGCCUUAGGGUUGUAAAGCUCUUUUUCAUUGGGGAAAAUAAUGGACGGUACCCACACAAAAAAACCCCCGGCUAACUUUCUUGCCACCACCCGCGGUAAAUACAAAAGGGGCCUAGCGUUGCUCCGAAUUCACUGGGGCGGAAAAGCGCACCGUAGGCGGUUUUUUAAUCAGGGGGGAAAUCCUUGGAGUCCACUCCCGAACUGCCUUUGAAAUUGGGGAGCUUGAUUCCGGAAAGGUGGAUUGGAAAUCCCAAUUGUAAAGGGAAAUUCCUAAAAUUUUCCAAAAACACCACUGGCAAAAGGGGUCCCCGGGCCCGGUCUGGACGC